RNAcentral lists this ribosomal RNA (489 nucleotides) under Eurepella torowatta. RNAcentral describes it as "partial 16S ribosomal RNA". It matches the Rfam family "Archaeal large subunit ribosomal RNA", at positions 1922 to 2651 of the family's 2987-position model. The record is from RNAcentral. Lineage: Eukaryota; Metazoa; Arthropoda; Insecta; Orthoptera; Gryllidae.
UCUUUUUGUAUUUAUAUAAGGUCGUGCCUGCCCCCUGAUAUAUGAUUGAAGGGCCGCGGUAUUUUGACCGUGCAAAGGUAGCAUAAUCAUUAGUUUUUUAAUUGGAAACUGGAAUGAAUGGUUUGACGAGACAAUAACUGUCUUAUAAUUAUAUAUUGAAUUUUACUUUUGAGUUAAAAGGCUCAAAUUUUUAUAAGGGACGAGAAGACCCUAUAGAUCUUUACAUUUAAUUAUUUAUAUUAAAUUGGUCGUUAAUUUUAUGUAUUUUAAUUAAUUUGUUUUGUUGGGGUGACAAGAGAAUAUAAAAGCUUCUUUAUAUUGAACUUUGAUGGAUGGUAAAAUGAUCCUUGUUUUGGGAAUUAAGAUUAAGAUACCUUAGGGAUAACAGCGUAAUUUUAUUGGAGAGUUCUUAUCAAUAAUGGAGAUUGCGACCUCGAUGUUGGAUUAAGAUUAAAUUAGGGUGCAGGUGCUUUAAAUUUUGGUCUGUGC